UACGUAGGGCGCAAGCGUUAUCCGGAAUUAUUGGGCGUAAAGAGCUCGUAGGCGGUUUGUCGCGUCUGCCGUGAAAGUCCGGGGCUCAACUCCGGAUCUGCGGUGGGUACGGGCAGACUAGAGUGAUGUAGGGGAGACUGGAAUUCCUGGUGUAGCGGUGAAAUGCGCAGAUAUCGGGAGGAACACCAGUGGCGAAGGCGGUUGCCUGGAGCUUUGCUGACGCUGAGGCGCGAAAGCGUGGGGAGCGAUCCGG
RNAcentral lists this ribosomal RNA (253 nucleotides) under uncultured bacterium. RNAcentral's name for it is "partial 16S ribosomal RNA". It matches the Rfam family "Bacterial small subunit ribosomal RNA", at positions 524 to 776 of the family's 1533-position model. The record is from RNAcentral.